Molecule: ribosomal RNA, 274 nt
Filed under: uncultured bacterium
Lineage: Bacteria
Description: partial 16S ribosomal RNA
Rfam family: Bacterial small subunit ribosomal RNA
Source: RNAcentral
CUACGGGGGGUGCAAGCGUUAUUCGGAUUUAUUGGGCGUAAAGGGCGCGUAGGCGGCUUGGAAAGUCAGAUGUGAAAGCCCGGGGCUCAACCCCGGAAGUGCAUUUGAAACUAUCAGGCUUGAGUAUGGGAGAGGGAAGUGGAAUUCCUGGUGUAGAGGUGAAAUUCGUAGAUAUCAGGAGGAACACCGGUGGCGAAGGCGACUUCCUGGACCAAUACUGACGCUGAGGCGCGAAGGCGUGGGGAGCAAACAGGAUUAGAAACCCGUGUAGUCC